AUGAACGCUGGCGGCGUGCCUAAUACAUGCAAGUCGAGCGAACAGAUGAGGAGCUUGCUCCUCUGACGUUAGCGGCGGACGGGUGAGUAACACGUGGAUAACCUACCUAUAAGACUGGGAUAACUUCGGGAAACCGGAGCUAAUACCGGAUAAUAUAUUUAACCGCAUGGUUCAAUAGUGAAAGACGGUUUUGCUGUCACCUAUAGAUGGAUCCGCGCCGCAUUAGCUAGUUGGUAAGGUAACGGCUUACCAAGGCAACGAUGCGUAGCCGACCUGAGAGGGUGAUCGGCCACACUGGAACUGAGACACGGUCCAGACUCCUACGGGAGGCAGCAGUAGGGAAUCUUCCGCAAUGGGCGAAAGCCUGACGGAGCAACGCCGCGUGAGUGAUGAAGGUCUUCGGAUCGUAAAACUCUGUUAUUAGGGAAGAACAAAUGUGUAAGUAACUAUGCACGUCUUGACGGUACCUAAUCAGAAAGCCACGGCUAACUACGUG
RNAcentral lists this ribosomal RNA (496 nucleotides) under uncultured bacterium. RNAcentral's name for it is "partial 16S ribosomal RNA". It matches the Rfam family "Bacterial small subunit ribosomal RNA", at positions 29 to 507 of the family's 1533-position model. The record is from RNAcentral.